ACGCAAAUGCCGAAGACAGCAGGUGUCGCAAGACGUAACGCAUGCUACCUGCCGAGGGAUGAGUGAACAUUAAUGAAAUGUUAACCUCUCUGUCUACGGACGGAGAGGUUUUUCUU
This 116-nucleotide small RNA is filed under the name bovine gut metagenome. RNAcentral describes it as "Ribosomal protein L10 leader". It matches the Rfam family "Ribosomal protein L10 leader", at positions 14 to 131 of the family's 138-position model. From Rfam's summary of the family: This family is a putative r-protein leader autoregulatory structure found in B. subtilis and other low-GC Gram-positive bacteria. It is located in the 5' untranslated regions of mRNAs encoding ribosomal proteins L10 and L12 (rplJ-rplL). A Rho-independent transcription terminator structure that is probably involved in regulation is included at the 3' end. The record is from RNAcentral. RNAcentral also lists the same sequence under 1 other name.